Molecule: long non-coding RNA, 1047 nt
Filed under: Fragaria vesca (wild strawberry)
Lineage: Eukaryota; Viridiplantae; Streptophyta; Magnoliopsida; Rosales; Rosaceae
Description: long non-coding RNA (FVES_LNC004624)
Source: RNAcentral
AUAUUUUUAAAUCCAACAUUAUCAUCAUUAUUAUCAUAUGACCAUAAUAACAAUAGGUUCAAAAGUGAACCUUGGUGAGAUUUACUCACCUAAAUAUCCCGCUGUAAAUUCCACAACCGACCAAAGCAAACCAAACACAACUUCACAAAUCACCUAAAAAAUAGCACAAUUAAAACCUUAGUAACUAAAAUACUAUAGGUUAUCACAAUACCCUUAACUAACCCUUAGUUCAAGGGAGGACAACUUUCCAAAGUCGUCGAACUUAGAGACCCAAAAUGGCUGCCUCUAAUCCUCAAAUCCUAACUCAAACCUCAACCAAGCCUACACAAAUAAACCUAAGUCCUAACAUGCCAACCUUGCUUAAAAUCUAGCCACACUACCACUCAACAAGCUCACAGCAGUAAGGACUAGCUAACCACAGGAAACUAAGGCCGCAACUCAGCCGGACACGCCGCCACACGCCACCACAGGCGGCGGCGAGUGGGCCCCACGCGCCACCCCAAACUUCCGAAUUAGGAGAAACUCACAACAGCAAAGUUGAAGCUUGAAGCAAGGGGAACAACUUUCAUACCUGAGACUUCGACCAAUUUUGGUCGGAACCGGCCGAAAAUUGUCCCGAAACCCUAACCCGUAAUCACUCCUCAAACCUGCAAAACCGGCUUCAAAACCUCAAAAACUCACUUUAAUCUAUGCCUAGACACUACUAGGAGGAGGAGAGGAUCAAAACUCACCUAAGGAUGCCCCUUGUCGCCACUGUAUAAGGCGGUUCUGAUCGGUGGCACAGCAGCCCCCUUUUCCGGCCGAAAGCGUUGUUUCCGGCAUCCCACACCGAGCAGCAGCUGCCCAGCCUUGAAGAGGGCACCUGUGGGAGUCGAACGGGACCGGUGGCGGUCCGAUUGGCGGUCGGACGGCGGAGCUAGCUCCGGCGGAAGUUAUGCUCUCGGGAGAGCUCGGGAGAGCUCGGGAGAGCUCGGGAGAGGAAGGGGGAGAAGAGAGAGAAGAGAGAAAAGAGAGGGAAGAGAGAAAAAAGAGAGGCUGACCUAUUUU